RNAcentral lists this ribosomal RNA (390 nucleotides) under uncultured bacterium. RNAcentral describes it as "bacterial SSU rRNA". It matches the Rfam family "Bacterial small subunit ribosomal RNA", at positions 28 to 419 of the family's 1533-position model. The record is from RNAcentral.
GACGAACGCUGGCGGCGUGCUUAACACAUGCAAGUCGAGCGGUAAGGCCCUUUCGGGGGUACACGAGCGGCGAACGGGUGAGCAACACGUGGGUGACCUGCCCUCAGCUCUGGGAUAAGCCUGGGAAACCGGGUCUAAUACUGGAUAUGACUCCAUGACGCAUGUUGUGGGGUGGAAAGCCUUGUGCGGCUGAGGAUGGGCCCGCGGCCUAUCAGCUUGUUGGUGGGGUGAUGGCCUACCAAGGCGACGACGGGUAGCCGGCCUGAGAGGGCGACCGGCCACACUGGGACUGAGACACGGCCCAGACUCCUACGGGAGGCAGCAGUGGGGAAUCUUGCGCAAUGGGCGAAAGCCUGACGCAGCGACGCCGCGUGAGGGAUGACGGCCUGG